Molecule: non-coding RNA, 72 nt
Organism: Apaloderma vittatum (bar-tailed trogon)
Lineage: Eukaryota; Metazoa; Chordata; Aves; Trogoniformes; Trogonidae
Source: Rfam
GGACUUAGCUCAGUCGGUCAGAGCACGAUGUUGAUAACACCAAGGUUGCAGGUUCGAUCCCCGUUCGGUCCC